UUCCUUUGGCCCCUUCUGCCGGUGCACCCCCACCCAAGCCCAGCUCCUGGGCACAGGAUGUGUGUGCACUUGGAGCAGAACAGAAAUCAGAGCUGGAGGCCUCUGAGCUGCUGUCUCCCCGCCCACCAGGCCUCUGCACACGCAGCUCCCUCUGCUUCUCCAGCCCUUCAGAAAUGGGCCAGUGACAGAGCUCUGUGCUUCCCACACCGUCGCCUCUUCCGGGGUUCAGAGGAUUCAAGGCCCCACUUCCCAGUCUCCUCGAGACCAUGGAACUCGAUGCCUGUACAUCGCGCCCAGCCUGCGGCGGCUGGAACCAAAUACGGGGCUCUUUGGAGAGGAUCUGCCAGGAAGAACUGAGGUCUUAUGCCACCUCCACCUCUACGUAACCUCAAACAGGCGUCAUCUUGUCUCCUGGCCUCAGUUUCCUCAUCUGUAAAACGGGGACACAUCAGGAUCUGCCCUCAGCAAGUUGCUGAGUGCCUGCCCUGAGCAGCCGGUAGGUGGCGCUGAUGGGCUGGUGGUUGGGUUGGGGGAGGCUCGCAUAGGGUCUCUGGAGGUCCCAGUAGGGCACUGGGGAGACCUCCCCUGAUUCCCUGGAGGCAGAGCAGAGCUCUUGUCUUUGCAGGAGCUGCAGAUUCUGCCUUGGGUAUCUUAGAAGCUUUGUACAGGCAUCUCCAGCUCAGUGGGAACCAAAUGCCAUCCUAUCUCCCCACCUCACUGGUGUCACCAUCUUCCUGGGAGCUGUCUGGAUAACCCUCUCCCUGGCCCUCACCUUUAAUUUGUCCCUGAGUCCCAUCAGGGUCACCCUCCAUCCCACUGCCAUCUUCCUGGGAGCUGUCUGGAUAACCCUCUCCCUGGCCCUCACCUUUAAUUUGUCCCUGAGUCCUAUCAAUCAGGGUCACCCUCCAUCCCACCACCAUCUCCCACCUGAGUGAGAAUGGGAACCUCCUCUCCCACUCCCUCCAAUUCCCCUCCACUACAGCUGGGGGAGGCUUCUAAAAUGCCAAAUAUAGCCCAGUUUCUGCAACUUGCAGGGUCCCCAGCCCUCGGGAGAAAGUCCAAACCCCUGACAAAGCCUGUGAAGCCCCCUGAGGCCCUGUGGGUCUGGGGCUAGCUCUGGGCUGCAGCCCUGUCUCUGGUCAUAGUCCAGCAUCCACCACGGUCCAGGUGCACUGAGCUGCCGGCCCUCUCUCCCCUCCGCUGGCUCCUUCCUCCUGACUGCCCGUCUUUCCCUGGCCUCUCUAUGCUUCCCGCUGGCAUUGACGACAGUGUCCUGGAGAGCUGGGCAGGGAGGGCUGCCUUGGGUUCCUACUGUGUGCUCCACCUAGUGCUGGUCUUGGCCCUUAGCAAGUGCUCAGUACACCCGUGUGGAAUUGGGCGGUGAGGGUAAAGGGAGGAGGAGGGAAGGGCCAAGAGCUCCCUGUGCUCAAUGAAGAGAGGGACUUGAGCAAGUACUCAUUUUUAGUACUUCCCAAGAUGUGUACAAGAGGCCUGGGGCCAGCAGAACUCCUUGCCCCUGCCCAUCCCCCUCCAGUCUAUGGGGUCCACCCCCAGCUGCCCAGCUGUGAGGCCUCCAUGGCUCAGCUCCUCAUCUAUUAAGUGAGGACAGCAGUCGUCCCCCUCACAGCGAGGCCACGUGGGUUACAUAACUUUUUCUUAGGGUGCCUGGCCUGCAAGAAACCCCUAAGAAUGUUCUAUAUUCCUAGGCCCACUGUUAUUCUUAAUAUUACCCAGGAAAGGGUGGUGAAGCGAGUAAAUAAAUGAAUAGGUGAAUGAAUAAAUGAAUGAAUGAAUGGCACCCUAGCCCCACUGUCUUCUGGGUGGCUUCAGGAUCCUUGAGGAGGUUGGCCGUGUAGGUUCCCCUCAGGUAGGACCUAGGUGAGCUGGGGAGUCUUAACUCACCCAGGGCAGGCCUUAAGGUUGGGCACACCCAUGUGUGGGCUCUGCCCUGGCCUUAACCGA
RNAcentral lists this long non-coding RNA (1962 nucleotides) under Homo sapiens (human). RNAcentral describes it as "HSALNT0363579". Lineage: Eukaryota; Metazoa; Chordata; Mammalia; Primates; Hominidae. The record is from RNAcentral.